GGAAUAAAAACGGACGCGGCCUAGCUGUUCAUCUUGUUACGGCAUUAUUUGCAAGGAGACCAGGGUCAAGAUUCUCAUGCGGAUCAUGUCCCCGUCCGUCUCCGUCCCUAGUGGGUUGUUGCUGCUGCUGGUGGUGGUGGUGCAUCAGUGCAUUGCAUUACCUCUUGCCCAGGGCACCCAAUGCCUACCCAGCUACCUGCUCAUCUCACCAUCAUCCAUGUGCUGUUUUGUUUUCGCGCUAGUACUUG
This 248-nucleotide long non-coding RNA is filed under the name Hordeum vulgare. RNAcentral's name for it is "long non-coding RNA (HVUL_LNC008925)". The record is from RNAcentral. Lineage: Eukaryota; Viridiplantae; Streptophyta; Magnoliopsida; Poales; Poaceae.